GACGCUGGAGACAUUGGAUAGACACACUCGUAAUGAAUAGGUCAUCGGUUCGAUUCCGAUAGGCGGCUCCA
RNAcentral lists this transfer RNA (71 nucleotides) under Stackebrandtia nassauensis DSM 44728. RNAcentral describes it as "tRNA-Ser". Lineage: Bacteria; Bacillati; Actinomycetota; Actinomycetes; Glycomycetales; Glycomycetaceae. The record is from RNAcentral.